Hibiscus syriacus is the source of this 355-nucleotide long non-coding RNA. RefSeq lists it as uncharacterized. The transcript has 3 exons. The record is from RefSeq and is a predicted model, not a curated record. NCBI's taxonomy places the organism in Eukaryota, Viridiplantae, Streptophyta, Magnoliopsida, Malvales, Malvaceae.
AGAGCGUCUGAGCGAAGAGAAGGUAGCAGCUAGAGGAGGCAUCCAAAGGGAUCGCAUUGAUCCUUUAUUAUCCACAAUUUUGGAUCAUGCCAUCCCUUUGAAUUUCUCCUUUGGUAGCUAAAUAUAUUAUUCCUCAAAAUAAAAUAAAUAAAAUCUGGAGAUUCGACGGCUAACUCCAAAUCAAGCAAUUGUUGAAGACUUUGACUGUCGUUGUUGAUCAAUCAAUGACCACCAUUGGUUGCUAUUGAUGUCAUCGUCGAUGGACCAUCCAUUCCUUCAAAAGUACAAGGAUAACUUAUUGUACCAAAGAACAAGUCGUAAUGGACCGGUGAAGAUCGAAGACUUGUUCAACUCA